CCUUAUUUUUGUAUCACACAGCAUAACCAGAAUGUUUGUAUUCUAUGCCUAUUUUUAUUUAGAAAUUACUGAGUCAGAUACUGCUGACGGGGCUCAUUAAUGAACAGGAGAAUACCAGCUCUGAGAAGAACAUGUGUAGCAGCAAGGAGAUUAUAGCAGUGAGAAGCUACUGUGAUUCAGUGCAUAACAUGCGGCUCUGAACAAUAAUGCUGAUUUACAGCUUUAGGGUUUGUUGUUAGAGUCUGUGACAGAAAUACCUCACGCAGUAAUGCAGAAAAACCCUAUUGCUUGUUCUUCUGGGUAUGAUUUCAGAAUUAAAGGUGAUGGUGACCUCAUCUGCAAGAAAGGGAUUAUUGGCAGAAGGAGACUCUGUGAAUCUGACAUGUGGUUCAGAGAGUUGCUCUCUCAGCCAAUCAGAAUUCACCUGGUUUAAGGACAACCAGCAGAUCACAGACACAAUGCCCACAAUUCACUUCAACCGCGUCUCCUAUAAUCACUCUGGAAAUUACUCCUGUGCAUUGAAAGGAGACAUAGGGGUUGUGUCCAAUACCAUUAUACUUAAUAUUCAAUCUGAAAGUAACCUGAUGACAGUGAUACUAGUGUGUCUGGGGAUACUACUGGCUGUUUUAGCUGUAACAAUCUGCAUAAUGAGAAGGAAGAGAAAUUCACUGAAUGUGCCAAAUGACAGAGGGGGGGGAAAUCAAAUCACAGAAGAUAACGAGUAUGCAGACAUUACAAAGUCUGCCUCUCAGACCAGGAGUGAGAGACAGGAAGUCCCGUUUCAGGGAGAGGAAGUCUCUUAUGCUUCCGUGCAGUUUAACACCAAACCACCAGACAGGCAGUUUGAUGUCAGUAACGCGGAGAGCCAUGAUGAUGCAAUCGUAUACGCUGCAGUCCGAAAACCAGCUUACUGCAGUUAAACCAGGGGUCUCCCUCACCUGUGGCUCCACUCCUCCUGAUCGACCCUCCCUCCAUAAGGACGCCUCUACAGGGGCAGCAGUCCCUUCCAGAGCUGAUUCCAUAGAGCACACUGGAGCUGCAGUGACCAUACAGCACACUGAAGCUGCAGUGACCAUCAUAAAGCACACUGAAGCUGCAGUGACCAUCAUAAAGCACACUGAAGCUGCAGUGACCAUCAUAAAGCACACUGGAGCUGCAGUGACUAUAGGGCAGUCUGGAGCAGCCCUUUGGCUCAGUCACUCUCAGUGAACUGAGGCAGUUUGUCAGUUUGUGUCUGGUGCCUUUUUCUGGACAAAGAUUCAGUUUCAGAAUCUUUAUUAUCAUUGUACAAGUACAACGAAAUUGGAUGCAGUCCCAGUUGUAUUCAUGUAUGUAAUAAUCUAUGGGUCACACCCUCAGUGCUGAACCCUGCUUCUGCUUUGUGUGUGUAGGGCUCCCCCUUGUGGGCAGUCCAAAGAUAAGUAAUCUGACUAAGUCUGACUGACUGUGAGCGCUGUGACACACUGGUCUCCUGCCCAGAGUGAACCGCUGCCUUGUGGCCUGUGCUGCCUGGCAAAGGCCACCCCCCGCGACCACACCCCCCC
Paramormyrops kingsleyae is the source of this 1544-nucleotide long non-coding RNA. RefSeq lists it as uncharacterized. The record is from RefSeq and is a predicted model, not a curated record. NCBI's taxonomy places the organism in Eukaryota, Metazoa, Chordata, Actinopteri, Osteoglossiformes, Mormyridae.